CCUACGGGAGGCAGCAGUGGGGAAUAUUGCACAAUGGGGGAAACCCUGAUGCAGCGACGCCGCGUGAGUGAAGAAGUAUCUCGGUACGUAAAGCUCUAUCAGCAGGGAAGAAAAUGACGGUACCUGACUAAGAAGCCCCGGCUAACUACGUGCCAGCAGCCGCGGUAAUACGUGGGGGGCAAGCGUUAUCCGGAUUUACUGGGUGGAAAGGGUGCGUAGGAGGCAGGAAAAGUCUGGAGUGAAAUCCCGGGGCUUAACCCCGGAACUGCUUUGGAUACUGUGGGGCUAGAGUGCAGUAGGGGUAAACGGAAUUCCGAGUGUAGCGGUGAAAUGCGUAGAUAUUAGGAGGAACACCGGUGGCGAAGGCGGCUUACUGGACUGUAACUGACGUUGAGGCUCGAAAGCGUGGGGAGCAAACAGGAUUAGAUACCCGGGUAGUC
This 440-nucleotide ribosomal RNA is filed under the name uncultured bacterium. RNAcentral's name for it is "partial 16S ribosomal RNA". It matches the Rfam family "Bacterial small subunit ribosomal RNA", at positions 338 to 795 of the family's 1533-position model. The record is from RNAcentral.